CCGUGCAGCCACACCCCACGACGCUCCUUUCGUCUCUCUGACUCUCGCGCACGAGACCUACCCUCGCCUACCCUAGGUGCGCCGCCGCCGCCAUGGUCUUCAUCUCGCAGCUCCUCAAUCGCCCCGUCGGAGCGGCGUCUCCGUCUACGUACGCCUACUCGCGGUUGUCCUCUUUCUCCUGUAUUCCCUAAAGGUGCAGCAGGGAGCAUCUUUUUCUUGAGGCGGCGAUGAGCUACAUCCCCAAAUCGGUGGCGCACUAAAUCCCUGAAGCAUGUGUUCGAUUUUUCAAGCCAUGUCUGGAGUUCUCACGCGCGCCGUCGCGAGAUCCACCACGUCGAGCAACCAGCCGGAGGGGGGAUUUUAUAAUUCACUGUUAAAAUGUGGAGUCGUGACGAGACCAGGUUACUUGCAGAGAGGUUAGCAGGGCGACACGUCCCUGCUUCGGGCCUCACGGACCUCACGCCGAUCAGGUGGUGUCCAUACUGGUUGGAGUCAAUUGUUUCGGGUAAAUCUUGGAGACUGGUUCUGGCAUUUUGAUUUGGGGAAUCUUUUAGUCUUCAAUCUCAAAUGGCCAUUGGACAGGUUAUUACUAGCGCAUUUUGGGAAUUCUUAAGUUUCCACCCCCGGUGGAUAGCGGCACUUAAUUUUGUUUUAAAGUUCUCUAUUUGUUGAUUUGGUUUUCCAUCAUUCCAAGUUAAAUGGAUUUGUGCAGAUUUUCUCUAAAGUAAAUGAUUGGUCAAGGCAGAUGAUUACCGACGCUAGAGUAGCAAUUAAGCAGAUUUUCUCUAAGAAUUACUUCAUGUUCUGGUUCCUUUUUCUGUUAUGUCUUGUGAGCAUACACAAAGAUGUCCAGGGAAUAUAUAUCUUCUCCAAGAAGCAAAGGUAAAAUCUAAUUAGAAGAACGCAUGUUUUUAUUAGUAACACCUAACCUCCUUAUUGGAAAUGGGUGCCACCAGACGUGUGUAUGGAUGCUAGGUCAAUUUUUUGUAGUUAUCCACUAACCCGGAAAACACUACGGAACUUGUUCGGCUCUUAGAAUCAGACAUCACAGAGCAGCCAUUCCGGCAAUUCUCAAAUGUUGAUGUCCAUUCCAAGCUUUACAUAGAUAUCUUUCCUUAAAAUAAAUAAAUUAUAGUUAGAAACAAGCCCGUCAUAAAGGAGGAUCUACAGUUAGCAAUUUUAUUUCAAUAGAUUGAAGAAAUGAAUGAAAAACAUGGUUUUUGUUAUAUAUGUGAGUAUACUAUUCGAAUCCUUCUUGCUAUUUUUAUGAGGCAUCACUUCACAAUUUUUAUUUAUGGAGCUUCCUUCAGUCUGUAGUCUAUAGAUGCAACUUUAUUUAUUGGUCCAUACAUUUUCUAUAGAUGACAUCUCAAGCACUUGCUCAAAUAAAUUAUAAUUUAUUUAUACAGGCUGGUGCUGAUGUGAAUAAAAUUGACUAUAUGGGCAUUACUUGAUGGCAGCAAUGAACAGUGUCCUACCUGGUGCCAAUUUGUCUGCGAGCUACCAAUUGAGCAUCGAACGGAGAUGGAAGUAUUGUGCUCGUGCUGAUGGUGCAUGUAUGUACGUGUAGCUGACUGAGGAUGACACAUUGCUUCUUAAAGUUUAGUGCUAUGGCUUGGGGAAGUGGCAAAUUUGACAAUUUUGACCUCGGGACGAAAUCAUUUCACAGAAUGAACUGGGUGCGAAACUAUUUCACUCCUCUGACCUUUUUGUGUAGCGUCCGCCACGCCAGCGCCACACCGUACUAUGCAGCGCCUAGCGCGGCGGCGUUGCACACCUGUCCACCGUGGCAGCCCCUGGGCCCGCACCCAGCAGUGCAGCGCCUGGACGCUGGGCGCCACAUAUGUAAUGUGCAGCGCCUAGCGGCUAGGCGCUGCACUGUGACUUAUCCAGCCACUUUGCUGGCCCCCCUCCCCCACCCCCCACACCACACACUCUCCCACUCUCUCCCCAAGCUUUGGCCCCUCUCCCCCUCUCAAAUCCUCUCCCAAAUCUUGCAAAUUUGAAGAAUUUGUCCGUGGAUUUCGAAGUCAAACCCUCCCUCAAGGUAUGGCGGCUUUCCAACCCAAUAAACCAACGAUGAAGGAGGAUGGCGAAGACGGGAUGGUGGGAGAAGGCUGCGAAGAAGAUUAGAGAGGAGGAUGCAGCCAAGCUAAAGAAGAAGAAGGAAGAGGAGCUUGAGAAGGAGAGGAAGGCAAAACAGAGAGCGUCAAAUGCGAUGCGCGCUAGGGAGCAAGUGUUGAUGAGGAAAUGUGAGGAGGCACAGAAGAAGCGUCAACAGGAUUUUGAAGAAAGAACCAUGAAGCUUUGGGCAAUUGCAGCUGAAAAAGAAGAGAGGGACAAUCAGAUAUUCAUGGAGAGGGUGGUUAAGGAGGCUCACCUCAUAAAAAAAAGGAGGAGGAAGAGGAAGAAGAGAGGAAGAAGAAGGGAAAGGGGCCUUGCUCUACGCAAUAGAGCUAUGUCGUCCUCUUCGAUUU
Long non-coding RNA from Triticum aestivum (bread wheat), 2477 nucleotides. RefSeq lists it as uncharacterized. NCBI's taxonomy places the organism in Eukaryota, Viridiplantae, Streptophyta, Magnoliopsida, Poales, Poaceae. The transcript has 5 exons. The record is from RefSeq and is a predicted model, not a curated record.